RNAcentral lists this ribosomal RNA (274 nucleotides) under uncultured bacterium. Its description in RNAcentral is "partial 16S ribosomal RNA". It matches the Rfam family "Bacterial small subunit ribosomal RNA", at positions 523 to 796 of the family's 1533-position model. The record is from RNAcentral.
AUACGGAGGGUCCAAGCGUUAUCCGGAAUCAUUGGGUUUAAAGGGUCCGCGGGCGGUCAAUUAAGUCAGAGGUGAAAGCCCAUCGCUCAACGAUGGAACUGCCUUUGAUACUGGUUGACUUGAGUUAUACGGAAGUAGAUAGAAUAAGUAGUGUAGCGGUGAAAUGCAUAGAUAUUACUUAGAAUACCGAUUGCGAAGGCAGUCUACUACGUAUAUACUGACGCUGAGGGACGAAAGCGUGGGGAGCGAACAGGAUUAGAAACCCUAGUAGUCC